Molecule: ribosomal RNA, 564 nt
Filed under: uncultured marine eukaryote
Lineage: Eukaryota
Description: SSU rRNA
Rfam family: Eukaryotic small subunit ribosomal RNA
Source: RNAcentral
GGUUAAAAAGCUCGUAGUUGGAUUUCUACCGAAGACAGCCGGUCCACACUACGUGUGCGCAUCUGGUGUGGCUUUGGUAUCCUCAUGGAGAACAGUUCUGCGCUUCAUUGCGUGGACUGGUAUUCAUGACUUUUACUUUGAGGAAAUUAGAGUGUUCACGGCAGGCGUUUGCCUUGAAUACAUUAGCAUGGAAUAAUAAUAUAGGACUUUGGCCCUAUUUUGUUGGUUUCUAGAGCUGAAGUAAUGAUUAAUAGGGACACUUGGGGGCAUUCGUAUUAUCACGUCAGAGGUGGAAUUCUUGGAUUGUGUUACGACGAACUACUGCGAAAGCAUUUGCCAAGGAUGUUUUCAUUGAUCAAGAACGAAAGUAAGGGGAUCGAAGACGCUUAGAUACCGUCGUAGUCUUUACCAUAAACUAUGCCAACUAGGGAUUGGAGGGCGUUCUUCACUCGACUCCUUCAGCACCUUAUGAGAAAUCAAAGUCUUUGGGUUCCGGGGGGAGUAUGGUCGCAAGGCUGGAACUUAAAGGAAUUGACGGAAGGGCACCACCAGGAGUGGAGCCUG